ACUCUGUCUCUUACUUUCGUUGCAAAGUUGGAAUUUAUUCCCAACCCAUGAAUAAUUUCUUUCAUUUAAUUUUACUUUUUUGUCUUAAUCAAAAUGUAUAAGUUUUCUCAAUAUAUUUUGUACUCUGAGUUGCGGCUGUAAAAUACUCGAAAGCCAUUUAUGAAUGAAUAACUCGGACUAUUAUGUAUUACAUGCAACACAUUUAUAAUAAAGCAGUUACACCUGUAGACAAUUCAAUUUGAUUGGGCUUAAUCGACUAGAAAUUUAUUGUAGUACGGGAUGGAGGAGAGCCGUCUAAAAUCCUUAAACCUUUGCGUGUUCAGUUUCAAUACAUAGAGUUUUCAGUUCUGCAAUGGAGAAGAAGCACACGACCGGUAUGUAUCUCAAUAUUUUACUGAUGUUUACAAAUUGGUUUCUGCAUUAGCUGUGUUUGCCUCCAUAUACACCGAUUAACUUGAAAUUUAUUUGACCGUUCAUCGUAUUUGGUGUUGCCGAAAGCUGUGAUUAUAAGGAUAAGAAUCACUCCCAGUCAAUUAUUAUUUCAGCACUUGCCUUCAGUGUGCUUCUAUGCUUCUAUGCUUUACUCUAUGACAUAAAUAGUUUGGAUUGGACUUUCUGCAUUAUCUCAAUUUAUUAUGGAUGCUAGCAUUGCAGGAAUAAAGUUCACCUGUAGGAUAUAACCAUCAAGCUAAUCAGUGCAAGGAGCAGGGUGAGCUAAUUAUUGCAGAACAGUAACUACGUUAUGCAAGGAAAGAAAUUAACCAGGCUGUACAUCAGGUGAGAGAAGUCGCCAACAUACAUUCAAGUAUGUAGCGCACUCUAUUCUGGACAUUCUUAGCCUUGAGUUGAUCGAUCUGGUUCUAAUUAUAUCUAAUUUGUGGUGUCUUCUGGAUGAUGAUUAAAGAAGAAAGAGAGCAAAAAAAGAGCCACGAGAAAAGAACUAUGAACACUUUGAAAAGUUAUGCUAUGGAAUAAGCAGAAGAACAAAAAAGAGUACUGCAAUGAACAAUCUGAAAACAGUAGUGGAUAAACACAACAUCAUUGACAGGUACGAGACACAAAAUGAGGAAUGCCAGAAUAUUGGUGAUAUGCAUUCUUCUACUGAUGAGGAUAAGAGAGCAAAGGCACAAGAGAAUACUGGGAAACAAGAUAUGUUGCUCCCGACUAGCCUCAAUACUGCUAAUGGACAAAAUAAAGGUGGCAUGACCAUGGUAGACUUGGGUUCCAUAUAAGUUAUACUUAACACCGGACUGAACCAAAGGCAUGGCCCUGACAUCCAAAAUGUCAUUGAACAACUGGUGGUGGAGAGUGAUGAGGACAGUGUUUCAAUGGAGCAUAUACAGAUGAUGAUGAAAAGGUAGCGGACAGUUUGGUACAAACAUUUGCACUUACAUCCAUUGAAGAUGAUUUAAGGCGCAGUUCGGUUCGUCGAAGUGGGGGAUAAGAAUUUUGGAUGUUUAAAAUACAGGAAUAACCACUGUCUAGUCCCUUCCAUGAGCAAGAAAUUGGGACACCCACUGGAUAUUUUUAUGUUAAUUCGAAAACAUCAAAGUAAAUCCAAAAUGAAUUUACCUGGUACUGGA
Long non-coding RNA from Lycium barbarum (goji berry), 1583 nucleotides. RefSeq lists it as uncharacterized. NCBI's taxonomy places the organism in Eukaryota, Viridiplantae, Streptophyta, Magnoliopsida, Solanales, Solanaceae. The transcript is spliced from 3 exons. The record is from RefSeq and is a predicted model, not a curated record.